UUUAAGGGAGCUCGUUCUCUGAACGCAUUGAGAAAUGCGUAAAUUACUCGAAUAUUUUUUAAAUUUUCAGAAUCUGGCAUUAAAAAGCUGCGGGAGAGGAUGCGGCAGGAAAUAUAGUAUUUCCUAUCAUUUUACGUGUAUGAAGAUACAAGGGCAUUGAUACAAUUGUUCUAUUUCAUACAGGUUUGCCGUUACACAGGUGAAAGGUUCCUUCGACUGCCUUUUGUAGAUACUGAAGAUGAUAUUUUUGAUAAAUGCAUCAUUAAAGAGCAAUUCUGGAUCACCCGUACAAAAUUGUUUGGGAAUUCUUCUUUCUUUCCUGAAAUUAGGAACGAUGUUACGGAAUACGUUAGCGACAAAAAUGAUUACGCUUUUUUGACACCUCUCUCUUUAAAGGAUUCGAUGGAGAAUGAAAAAUGGUUACACCUAGAAUUAAAUAAGGAUCUUUUAAUAAAUUCGGAUAAAGAGGAUGAAAUGCAUAUGUUGCAUGAAAUAACAGG
Molecule: long non-coding RNA, 500 nt
Organism: Stegodyphus dumicola
Lineage: Eukaryota; Metazoa; Arthropoda; Arachnida; Araneae; Eresidae
Source: RefSeq, a predicted model, not a curated record